RNAcentral lists this ribosomal RNA (118 nucleotides) under Microcebus murinus (gray mouse lemur). Lineage: Eukaryota; Metazoa; Chordata; Mammalia; Primates; Cheirogaleidae. The record is from RNAcentral.
GUCUACAGCCAAACCACCCUGAAUGUGCCCAAUCUUGUCUGAUCUCGGAAGCUAAGCAGGGUCCAGUCUGGUUAAUACUUGGAUUGGAGAUGAAUUAAAUAUAAGCUUGGAACAGACU